This 76-nucleotide small RNA is filed under the name Pseudescherichia vulneris (CDC Enteric Group 1). Its description in RNAcentral is "isrK Hfq binding RNA". It matches the Rfam family "isrK Hfq binding RNA". The record is from RNAcentral. Lineage: Bacteria; Pseudomonadati; Pseudomonadota; Gammaproteobacteria; Enterobacterales; Enterobacteriaceae.
GCACCAGCAAAAUCUGGUGCCGGGAUUGGCGUCCCGGAUUACUAAAAGGCGCAUACACCGCGCGAGCGGUUUUUUU